This is a non-coding RNA of Arachis ipaensis, 517 nucleotides long. NCBI's taxonomy places the organism in Eukaryota, Viridiplantae, Streptophyta, Magnoliopsida, Fabales, Fabaceae. The record is from RefSeq and is a predicted model, not a curated record.
UAUGAUUAAUUCUAUUAGAAGAGACAUCAUUUGGGUUAGUUGAUGUAUUUCCAGUUGAAGACUGCAAACAUGCUUUGCAUGAGUCUCUAGCAGAGAUCAAUUUACAUUUGACAGAGGCACAGAAUACUGGAGGAGUUUGUUUUCCUUUGGGAAAGGGCAUGUACCGUGUGCUUUAUAUUCCUGAAGAUGAAGCUGUUCUCUUGAAUUCUAGGGAGAAUGCGCCUUACAUGAUCUGUGUUGAAGUAUUGAGAUGUGACAUGAUAAUGUAUUACUUCAAUAGUAAUCCCCAUGAGUUUUAAAGAAUAUAGCAGUUCAUAAAAUGAGAAACAUAUUUCUGAUAUAUUCCCUUCACUACAAAACAUUUAUCAUAGCAAUUCCAAGGACACGUCCAGUCCUCAUAAACUUUCCAAAGGUGGAAUUCCCUUGGCAAAUGGAGAUGCUCUCUUGCCAAAACCACCACCAUGGGCUUAUCCAUUGUGGACAACACAAGAGGUUUAUCGUAAUAGCAAUGAUAGGA